Molecule: ribosomal RNA, 438 nt
Filed under: uncultured eukaryote
Lineage: Eukaryota
Description: SSU rRNA
Rfam family: Eukaryotic small subunit ribosomal RNA
Source: RNAcentral
GGAUAACCGUAGUAAUUCUAGAGCUAAUACAUGCGUUACGCCAAACUUCUGGAAUGGCAGUAUUUAUUAGAUAACAAAUCAAUAUUCCUCUGGUCUAUUUGAUGAUUCAUAAUAACUAGCUUAUCGAAUCGCUGGGUUGUACCCGCGAUAAAUCAAUCAAGUUUCUGCCCCAUCAGCUUGAUGGUAGUGUAUUGGACUACCAUGGCUUUUACGGGUAACGGGGGAUUAGGGUUCGACACCGGAGAGGGAGCCUGAGAAACGGCUACCACUUCUACGGAAGGCAGCAGGCGCGUAAAUUACCCAAUCCUAAUUCAGGGAGGUAGUGACAAGAAUAAUAGACCGGCGUAAGCCGGGUUUACAAUGAGCCUAAUUUACACAGCUUAGUGAGGAUCCAUUGAGGGCAAGUCUGGUGCCAGCAGCCGCGGUAAUUCCAGCUCC